AAUUAUAUAGUAUUAAGUACAUUUGAUUUCCAAUCAAAAGGAGAGAUUAUUU
This 52-nucleotide transfer RNA is filed under the name Hypsosinga pygmaea. RNAcentral describes it as "tRNA-Gly". Lineage: Eukaryota; Metazoa; Arthropoda; Arachnida; Araneae; Araneidae. The record is from RNAcentral.